Brachypodium distachyon (stiff brome) is the source of this 136-nucleotide non-coding RNA. NCBI's taxonomy places the organism in Eukaryota, Viridiplantae, Streptophyta, Magnoliopsida, Poales, Poaceae. The record is from Rfam.
AUGUUACUUUUUCCGUCCAACAAAAGAUGUAUCAAGUUUGUUAAAUUUUGAAUGUAUCUACACAUGACUUAGUGUAUAGAUGCAUUCAAAUUUAGUCAAAAUUGAGACAUGCUUUGUUGGACGGAGGGAGUACGUG